Molecule: transfer RNA, 67 nt
Filed under: Fukomys damarensis (Damara mole-rat)
Lineage: Eukaryota; Metazoa; Chordata; Mammalia; Rodentia; Bathyergidae
Rfam family: tRNA
About the family: Transfer RNA (tRNA) molecules are approximately 80 nucleotides in length.
Source: Rfam by way of RNAcentral
GAGGAUGUAGCUCAGUGGCAGAGUGCUUGACUAGCAUGUGCCCUGGGUUCAAUCCCCAGCACACACA